This 1443-nucleotide ribosomal RNA is filed under the name uncultured organism. RNAcentral describes it as "SSU rRNA". It matches the Rfam family "Bacterial small subunit ribosomal RNA". The record is from RNAcentral.
CUAUCUACAGGCUUAACACAUGCAAGUCGAGGGGCAGCAUGGUCUUAGCUUGCUAAGGCCGAUGGCGACCGGCGCACGGGUGAGUAACACGUAUCCAACCUGCCGUCUACUCUUGGACAGCCUUCUGAAAGGAAGAUUAAUACAAGAUGGCAUCAUGAGUCCGCAUGUUCACAUGAUUAAAGGUAUUCCGGUAGACGAUGGGGAUGCGUUCCAUUAGAUAGUAGGCGGGGUAACGGCCCACCUAGUCUUCGAUGGAUAGGGGUUCUGAGAGGAAGGUCCCCCACAUUGGAACUGAGACACGGUCCAAACUCCUACGGGAGGCAGCAGUGAGGAAUAUUGGUCAAUGGGCGAGAGCCUGAACCAGCCAAGUAGCGUGAAGGAUGACUGCCCUAUGGGUUGUAAACUUCUUUUAUAAAGGAAUAAAGUCGGGUAUGGAUACCCGUUUGCAUGUACUUUAUGAAUAAGGAUCGGCUAACUCCGUGCCAGCAGCCGCGGUAAUACGGAGGAUCCGAGCGUUAUCCGGAUUUAUUGGGUUUAAAGGGAGCGUAGAUGGAUAUUUAAGUCAGUUGUGAAAGUUUGCGGCUCAACCGUAAAAUUGCAGUUGAUACUGGAUAUCUUGAGUGCAGUUGAGGCAGGCGGAAUUCGUGGUGUAGCGGUGAAAUGCUUAGAUAUCACGAAGAACUCCGAUUGCGAAGGCAGCCUGCUAAGCUGCAACUGACAUUGAGGCUCGAAAGUGUGGGUAUCAAACAGGAUUAGAUACCCUGGUAGUCCACACGGUAAACGAUGAAUACUCGCUGUUUGCGAUAUACUGCAAGCGGCCAAGCGAAAGCGUUAAGUAUUCCACCUGGGGAGUACGCCGGCAACGGUGAAACUCAAAGGAAUUGACGGGGGCCCGCACAAGCGGAGGAACAUGUGGUUUAAUUCGAUGAUACGCGAGGAACCUUACCCGGGCUUAAAUUGCAGAUGAAUUACGGUGAAAGCCGUAAGCCGCAAGGCAUCUGUGAAGGUGCUGCAUGGUUGUCGUCAGCUCGUGCCGUGAGGUGUCGGCUUAAGUGCCAUAACGAGCGCAACCCUUGUUGUCAGUUACUAACAGGUUCCGCUGAGGACUCUGACAAGACUGCCAUCGUAAGAUGUGAGGAAGGUGGGGAUGACGUCAAAUCAGCACGGCCCUUACGUCCGGGGCUACACACGUGUUACAAUGGGGGGUACAGAGGGCCGCUACCACGCGAGUGGAUGCCAAUCCCAAAAACCUCUCUCAGUUCGGACUGGAGUCUGCAACCCGACUCCACGAAGCUGGAUUCGCUAGUAAUCGCGCAUCAGCCACGGCGCGGUGAAUACGUUCCCGGGCCUUGUACACACCGCCCGUCAAGCCAUGGGAGCCGGGGGUACCUGAAGUGCGUAACCGCGAGGAGCGCCCUAGGGUAAAACUGGUGACUGGGGCUA